Long non-coding RNA from Dreissena polymorpha, 550 nucleotides. RefSeq lists it as uncharacterized. Lineage: Eukaryota; Metazoa; Mollusca; Bivalvia; Myida; Dreissenidae. The transcript is spliced from 3 exons. The record is from RefSeq and is a predicted model, not a curated record.
ACGGCUUCUUUGUCAUAAAAAGAGUCAUUGUGGACAAUUUUUUGACAUGUACAGUGAAUAUUGGUCGAAACAAAAGCUCUUGGAUCAAAGUCGUUGGGAAUGAAACAAUGUUGGCGGCUGAAGCAACUCCUUUUCAUCUUAUAAAAAAUGGGAACGAUGUCAAAUUUGAAUAUAAAGACCAGUAUAUGGCGUAUGACGAACAAGAUAAGAAAAUAGUGAUGGUUUCGAAAUCUGCCAUUUUAGGCGAAACCUAUAUGAAAAAGUACGAAAGAUAUACAAUAACAUUCUUUGAAAUAUCGAGCCAGUAACAUUCCGUCGGGUUUCUCGCAUUGAUGAAUACUUGCUUACCAUAUGCGCGCACUUAUAAAUACUUACGUACUUGUGUUACAAGAAAUAUACUAUGGAGAAAUAGUAUAUAUAAAUGAAGGUUGUGUCAUGUAUUCGACAAUAUAUCCUUUUUCCAACGAUAAUUUAUCAGCGAGGUUCCAAAAUCCUUAUUCACGUCAAUAAAACAUAAAUUGUGAUAGUAUUGAGUGAUCCAAUGUAUAAA